RNAcentral lists this ribosomal RNA (460 nucleotides) under uncultured bacterium. RNAcentral's name for it is "partial 16S ribosomal RNA". It matches the Rfam family "Bacterial small subunit ribosomal RNA", at positions 338 to 795 of the family's 1533-position model. The record is from RNAcentral.
CCUACGGGUGGCAGCAGUGAGGAAUAUUGGUCAAUGGGCGUAAGCCUGAACCAGCCAAGCCGCGUGAGUGAUGAAGGUUCUAUGGAUCGUAAACCUCUUUUAUAAGGGAAUAAAGUGCGGGACGUGUCCCGUUUUGUAUGUACCUUAUGAAUAAGGAUCGGCUAACCCCGUGCCAGCAGCCGCGGUAAUACGGAGGGUCCGAUCGUUAUGCGGAUUGAUUGGGGUUAAAGGGUGCGUAGGCGGCCUUUUAAGUCAGCGGUGAAAGUCUGUGGCUCAACCAUGGAAUUGCCGUUGAAACUGGGAGGCUUGAGUAUGUUAGAGGCAGGCAGAAUGCGUGGUGUAGCGGUGAAAUGCUUAGAGAUCACGCAGAACCCCGAUGGCGAAGGCAGCCUGCCAGGCCAUGACUGACGCUGAUGCACGAAAGCGUGGGGAUCAAACAGGAUUAGAUACCCGGGUAGUC